Molecule: ribosomal RNA, 510 nt
Filed under: uncultured bacterium
Lineage: Bacteria
Description: partial 16S ribosomal RNA
Rfam family: Bacterial small subunit ribosomal RNA
Source: RNAcentral
GACGAACGCUGGCGGCGUGCUUAACACAUGCAAGUCGAACGAAGAGCGACGGAAGCUUGCUUCUAUCAAUCUUAGUGGCGAACGGGUGAGUAACGCGUAAUCAACCUGCCCUUCAGAGGGGGACAACAGUUGGAAACGACUGCUAAUACCGCAUACGAUCUAAUCUCGGCAUCGAGGAUGGAUGAAAGGUGGCCUCUACAUGUAAGCUAUCACUGAAGGAGGGGAUUGCGUCUGAUUAGCUAGUUGGAGGGGUAACGGCCCACCAAGGCGAUGAUCAGUAGCGGGUCUGGGGGGAUGAACGGCCCAAUGGGGCUGGAGCCCCGCCCCAGACCCCUCGGGGGGGAGCCAUGGGGGAUUCUUCCGCAAUGGCAGAGAGGCUGACGGCAAACCGCCGCGGGGGUGAUGGCGCCCUUGGGGUUGUAAAGCUCGGUUAACCGGGACGAAGGCCUUUCUUGCGAAUAGUGAGAGGGUUUGACGUUACCGAAAUAAAAGCCCAGGCCAAACUCCGGC